UACAAACUAGCUUUGUAAUAUUAUUAUGUAUGAAAUUAUUAUCUAUUUCUAGAUAAAUGAUAAUAGGUAUUACAACUAUAUGAAAGAAUAACGAUUAAUCCGUAUAGAGUAAAUGCAAGUACUUGAUUAUGAUAUUCGACCACAAAAAGCAGCCUUACAAAUUGGUGAAUCUUACAUUGCUAUUUGAAACCAUUAGAGUCAUGCCAUGUUGCUAUAAGACUCUUCUUUUUUCUGUUUGAACACUUUUCUCUUGAAAUUUUCCUUCUCGAGCUUUGAACAUUCUAAUUUGAAGUGUAAAGUCCUUUAGGAAACUACUUGUUUCUCCUACUUCAUAAACGUUGAACUUUUUUUAUACAAAAAUGAUAUCUCAUCAUCAUAUGAGUCUUCACUCUGAUCACCAGACCCAUCUUCAUAUGAUUUUUCUUUAGCUUGAACAACUUUGGAGACAUUCUUCGUCCUUUUAGAUAUCAAAUCAACAAACUUUUAUUUCCUCUAUGAUUGAUCUUCAUUUAGCUCAAUCUCAUGGGAUUGUAAUGCCUCAUGAGGAAGUUUGUUGAGAUCUAUAACUUUCUGAAUGGUUGUAACUUUGGGUCUCCACUUGAUUACAAAACUCAUUACUAAUAAGUUUUCUUUGGAUUCUUUGACUUGCUUAUUUCCUUCAUAGUUAACACAUAAAGCAUCAAAGAUACACUUUUGUUGUUUCUUUAGCAUUGAUUCUAUCAAACUCUUUAAAGGUAAUAACAUUCAUCAUAAAUAUUCCAACUUUACAAUACAUCUUAAGCUUUUUCUAUUGAUAAGCAACUUGUUGUUUUCUUGCUAUGACAUCACCAUUUGCAUCUUUUGGAUCUUCAAAUCCUUUUUGCACUAGAUCCUAUAGUUCAAAAUUCUGAGAAAUGCAUAAGCUUAUAAGUUUAUCUUUCCAAUACUCAAAUCUCUCUCCAUAAAAAACCAACUACUUUAUCACUAAAUUUAGACAUUGUUCACACAUAAGCCCUUAGGAUCUUUUCACAAACACAUUAAAGUGCUCAACCAAGAGAUCCAACUCUGAUGUCAAUCACAUGUGAUAAAAAAACACUUGAAGUGGGAGGUUUGAAUUGUGUAUAAAUAGUUUUACUUUUAAAACCAAGUGAUUUUUAAAAACUAUUCGAAAACAAAACUUCUAAGAUAACAAGAUAAAGGAAAGCACAUGAACACAAGCAAGUUAUCCUACUUAACCACAUAGAAACUACGUCUAACCCCUUCAACCUGAAGGAUUUCAACACUAAAGCAAACUGAUUUUUCUUUUCAACUACUAGAACAUAUUAAUGUAUUCCUGCUAUGUUCUACUUUUCUCAAACUUCUAACUUAGUAUUGUUAAGCUUUUCAGGAUGCAACCAAUAUUGGGUCAAGUUACAAAAAUGUAAAAAUUUGUGAAUUGCAAGAUAAAUCUCAACAUGCGAUAGAGAUUUUAAGCUCAAAAUAAAAUGUGAGUAUGUUUCAAUAGAAAAUAUUUUGAAAAUAAGAUCACUUGAUGUACUCAUAAUUGGUUCUUGACUUUUGCAGCGUGAUUGUUCAAAGUUUUCUUGCUUUUUUGAAAUUUACGCAAAAGUAUUUUUAUAGUACAUGAAAUGAUACAAUUAUUUUUUUUUGACAGAUGCAGGAAAUGUUAUGCACAACUUGUACAAUUUUGUACUAUCUAGAACAACCAAUAUGAAUUUUGAAAUUGAUACUUGUCUUUUUCUCCUUUUCUGUUUAACUAUGUAGGAGAUUGAUAUUUUCAUCAUAGUGUUGAUUGGAACAUCAGGUAAUCUUGAUAAUACACUUAAAUAUGUAGUAGAUUGUUCAGAUGAUGCACUUGGAAUGAUGAUCGAUGAGAAAACAUUGAGUAGAAGAUGACAAUAAUACUCACCAAAAUAAAUGUUUCUUCGAAUAGACAAAACUCUAAAUUUUCAUAAGAGGAUCUACAUAUUUAAACAUAUAAAUUAUUCUCACUUAUAUUUUGUUAUCAUCGAAACUAAAAUUAAGGAUCGUUGUUAUUCAAACUAACUUGAUUCUAAUAAAAUUUUCAAACAAUGAUAAAGAUAAGCAUUUUUUUUUGUACAAUUCAUCAUGAAUACUUCAAUAUUAAUUAUUUCAUAAAUAAACAAAAAUAUAUGCUUAUUAUACAAGACAAAGAAAUUUCUCAACAAAACUUAAAUGCAAAAAUAAAAAUAAUUGACAUGAGAAUAUAUAUAUAUAUAUAUAUAUAUANNNNNNNNNNNNNNNNNNNNNNNNNNNNNNNNNNNNNNNNNNNNNNNNNNNNNAAUAACAUAGUAACAAGAUUAUGAAACUACAUUAUUCCAAAUAUAUUGAAAAGAAGACGAGGACUAGGAAUUUGUCCAAAAACAAAAGUAGAGGAUGAAGUCUUGCAAUAUAACCUCCGAGCAAGUUAGCCAUGACUCAUUCGAUAGAAUAACAUGCCAAUAACGUGCUACGAAAUUAGUAGUAUAAAGAAAAUGAAGAAAGAUAGAAUUGAAAAGAAUAUUUGUAAUUUGAUCUUUAAGGUUAUCUUUACAUUGCUACAAAAAAUUUAUUUAUUGAACAAAAAUGCAAUAACUUUCAAGCAUAUGAAUUAUCUAAUUUUUUUUUUUAAAGAAAUGAAAGGUCUAACAUUAUGUGUCAUUAAUAUUGACAUCCAAAUAUAAUGGUUUUUAUUCAUGGAAGUUGUAACAGCCUUCUAUAUAAGAAAAUGAUCAUCCACCAAAUAAUAAAAAUAUUCAUUUUUUUAUGGAGAAAAUAUUCAUUAAAAUAGAACUAAUACUAUAUAAUUUAUUUAUGAAAAAGUGUAUGGAGGUUGGUGUUGGGGACUAAUUCUAAAAUGUUAUUAACAUUAAAUAAAAAUGUUUUUUCUUUUAAAAAUAGAAGCGGGAUUGAUAGAUUGAUAGGUCAGCGUAAAAGAAAAUAACUCA
This 2927-nucleotide long non-coding RNA is filed under the name Cicer arietinum (chickpea). RNAcentral describes it as "long non-coding RNA (CARI_LNC000220)". Lineage: Eukaryota; Viridiplantae; Streptophyta; Magnoliopsida; Fabales; Fabaceae. The record is from RNAcentral.